RNAcentral lists this ribosomal RNA (468 nucleotides) under uncultured bacterium. RNAcentral describes it as "partial 16S ribosomal RNA". It matches the Rfam family "Bacterial small subunit ribosomal RNA", at positions 28 to 507 of the family's 1533-position model. The record is from RNAcentral.
GACGAACGCUGGCGGCGUGCUUAACACAUGCAAGUCGAACGGAAAGGCCCUGCUUUUGUGGGGUGCUCGAGUGGCGAACGGGUGAGUAACACGUGAGUAACCUGCCCUUGACUUUGGGAUAACUUCAGGAAACUGGGGCUAAUACCGGAUAGGAGCUCCUGCUGCAUGGUGGGGGUUGGAAAGUUUCGGCGGUUGGGGAUGGACUCGCGGCUUAUCAGCUUGUUGGUGGGGUAGUGGCUUACCAAGGCUUUGACGGGUAGCCGGCCUGAGUGGGUGACCGGCCACAUUGGGACUGAGAUACGGGCCAGACUCCUACGGGAGGCAGCAGUGGGGAAUAUUGCACAAUGGGCGGAAGCAUGAUGCAGCAACGCCGCGUGCGGGAUGACGGCCUUCGGGUUGUAAACCGCUUUCGCCUGUGACGAAGCGUGAGUGACGGUAAUGGGUAAAGAAGCACCGGCUAACUACGUG